Molecule: ribosomal RNA, 250 nt
Filed under: uncultured bacterium
Lineage: Bacteria
Description: partial 16S ribosomal RNA
Rfam family: Bacterial small subunit ribosomal RNA
Source: RNAcentral
UACGUAGGCCCCAAGCAUUAUCCGGAAUUAUUGGGCGUAAAGGGCGUGUAGGUGUUCCUACAAGUCGGUCGUUAAAUCUCAUCGCCUAACGAUGAGGCCGCGAGCGAAACUGUAGGAAUUGAGGUUUGCAGGGGCAAGCAGAAUUUUUGGAGUAGGGGUGAAAUCCGUUGAUACCAAAAGGAACACCAAUGGCGAAGGCAGCUUGCUGGGCAAAACCUGACACUGAGACGCGAAAGCGUGGGGAGCAAAG